UUGACACCGGCGGAAUCGGACGUCCACUGUCCUCGGCAGAUUUAACCAGGUGUUAUCGAAUGCAAACUUUAUCGCCAUCAGAUGAAGAUGACCAGCCUGUCGCUGACAGUGAGCCCACUACGCUGGAAGAACAGACUUUUUUCCGUCUCCAAACGACCGGAGAGUCACGAAGCGAGACAAUAACGCCCAGAAGUUACUGAAAUGAAUCGAGCUGGCAGAGGAAGAAACGGAAUGAACGCUAGCAGUGUUAGCCUUCACCACAGAGGAAAGGAAGGAAAGCAGAAGACAAAAUGGAGAAAAGACAAAAGUGAUGAAAGAGAGACAUUCGCAUACAUUUGUGUGUGCGUGCCAGAGGAGUGAAAGACGCAGCCAGGCUCAACUUGAAUCAAAUGAAAGCAGAGAAGUGGACUCCCCGCUGCUUUCCCAUCACAGUAGAAUUCACUCAGCCUCACACGGCUGUGUCAUCCACACUCAGCUGUACCCACUUUGUUUUAGAUAACGAUAAAGAAUGCACACAACCCUGAAUUGAUGUUUAAAUGCACACCUCUGCUGGCCUUUAUUAUUAAGAAUAAUAAGUUUCCUUCUUAAAAGCAAUCAAUAAACUUUAAUGGUGUUACCUGUUGUAUGUUUAAUGUCAUAUUUUAGUAAGAGUGAUGGUGGUUUAUUCCCUAGAAAAAUACAUUAUAUUUGCUCAAUCAUUGUCAAGAUGACUGGCGGCUUUUUACACUUUUUUUGUGUUAU
Eleginops maclovinus (Patagonian blennie) is the source of this 741-nucleotide long non-coding RNA. RefSeq lists it as uncharacterized. The record is from RefSeq and is a predicted model, not a curated record. Lineage: Eukaryota; Metazoa; Chordata; Actinopteri; Perciformes; Eleginopidae. The transcript is spliced from 3 exons.